ACCCGCUGAACUUAAGCAUAUCACUAAGCGGAGGACAAGAAACUAACAAGGAUUCCCCUAGUAACGGCGAGCGAACCGGGAAUAGCCCAGUGUGAAAAUCCGCAGCCUUUGGCUGCUGAAUUGUAGUCUGGAGAAUCGUCCUCCGAGCCGAGCUGUGCCCAAGUUCCCUGGAAAGGGACGUCGAAGAGGGUGAGAACCCCGUCGGCGCAGUUGCCGGCUCUCCACGAGGCGGUUUCGCAGAGUCGGGUUGUUUGGGAAUGCAGCCCAAAGUAGGUGGUAAAUCCCAUCUAAGGCUAAAUACUGACGGGAGACCGAUAGCGAACAAGUACCGUGAGGGAAAGAUGAAAAGAACUUUGAAAAGAGAGUCAAAAAGUGCUUGAAAUUGUUGAGAGGGAAGGCAUGUCAAGGUAGUGUGUCUCUGGGCUUAUGCUUGCCGCAAGGCCAGCUGUAUGUGCCAGGGACUGGUCAAGUUGGAUUGCCGGGACUGUAUAAGCUUCUCCUUUGUUGGUGAAUCCUGCAGUCUUGGUGUUCGAGGAGUCAGGGCGCCCCGGUCUUAUGAUCUGCGUUCCGACGAACUUGACGGAAGCCUUGUC
This 593-nucleotide ribosomal RNA is filed under the name uncultured fungus. RNAcentral describes it as "eukaryotic LSU rRNA". It matches the Rfam family "Eukaryotic large subunit ribosomal RNA", at positions 23 to 641 of the family's 3401-position model. The record is from RNAcentral. Lineage: Eukaryota; Fungi.